RNAcentral lists this ribosomal RNA (1280 nucleotides) under Lepinotus reticulatus. RNAcentral describes it as "16S ribosomal RNA". Lineage: Eukaryota; Metazoa; Arthropoda; Insecta; Psocodea; Trogiidae. The record is from RNAcentral.
AAUUACAUUUAUUCAAAAAUCAAAAUUUAAUCUCGCAACUCAAUCCUUUCGUACUAGAAUUACACAAAAUAUUUAAGAUAGAAACUGACCUGGCUCACGCCGGUCUGAACUCAAAUCAUGUAAGAAUUUAAUAGUCGAACAGACUAACAAAUAAAAUUUUUACUUCUAAUUGUAUUCUUAAUUCAACAUCGAGGUCGCAAUCUUUAUUUUCAAUAUGAACUAUCCAAUAAAAUUACGCUGUUAUCCCUAAGGUAAUUUAAUCUAUUAAUCAAAAAAAAAGAUCACAAUAAUAUUUAUAAAUAAUUUCAAAUUCAAUAAAUUCCUCUUAUUAUUAAACUGCCCCAGCCAAAUUCAUCCAACCUAAAACCAUAAAAAUUAAAAUUUAAUCUUAAAUUAAUAAAUAAAAAUCUAUAGGGUCUUCUCGUCCCCAAAUUAAAUUUUAGCAUUUUUACUAAAAAUUUAAAUUCAACACUUAAUUCUAAAACAGUUGAUUUCUCAUUAAAUCUUUCAUUCCAGUCUCCAAUUAAAAGACUAUUUAUUAUGCUACCUUAGCACAGUUAAAAUACUGCGGCUCUUUAAUCGUUAUCAGUGAGCAGAUUUAAUUUUACAUUCAAUUCAAAAAACCAUGUUUUUGCUAAACAGGUGGAAAUCACAUUUGCCAAAUUCUUCAAAAUUAAAUAUAUUAUUUUAUAAUCAGUCUACUAAUUUUAAUAUAAAUUCUAAAAUUAUUAAUUCAAUUCAAUCAUGAAAUAAUCAUUUAAAUUUAAAUAAAUACAAAGAAAAAUCAUAAAAUAUUUAUUAAAAAUUAUAAAUUAUUAAAAAUUCUAUUUAUAAAACUUUAUCUCCCUUAAAUUUUUAAUAUAAAAAAAAUUUAAAAUUAUCUUUAAAUUUAUUUUCAUUAAAUUAAUUUAAUUAAUAAUAAUCUUAACUAUCUAAUUUAAUAAUGAAUUAAACUCAUUUAUUUCACAACUAAAUAUCAACUUAAACGAUUAACUUUUCAUUCCAAUAUAAAAUUUAUUAAAUAUUUUUCACGUAUAAUAAAAAUUCUAUAUAAAUCUUAAAUCUUUGAGAUUUUAAAUUAAUUUAAAUUAUUUCAUUAAACCCUGAUACAAAAGGUAUUAAAAAUCAAUUAUACUUUUCAUUAAAUAAAUCAUUUCUCUUUCAAUAAAAUCCACUAUAAUCAUUAUAUUUUAUUUCACUAUACAUUAAACCAUUUUUACUUAAAUUAUUUUCUAAAAUUUAAAUUAAUCCUCACAAACAAAACAAUAAUAAUAAAAUUU